RNAcentral lists this ribosomal RNA (750 nucleotides) under uncultured bacterium. Its description in RNAcentral is "bacterial SSU rRNA". It matches the Rfam family "Bacterial small subunit ribosomal RNA", at positions 43 to 783 of the family's 1533-position model. The record is from RNAcentral.
CAGGCCUAACACAUGCAAGUCGAGCGGACCAUUCCUUCGGGGAUGGUUAGCGGCGGACGGGUGAGUAACACGUAGGCAACCUGCCUGUAAGAUCGGGAUAACUACCGGAAACGGUAGCUAAGACCGGAUAGCUGGUUUCUCCGCAUGGAGGGAUCAUGAAACAUGGGGCAACCUGUGGCUUACGGAUGGGCCUGCGGCGCAUUAGCUAGUUGGUGGGGUAAUGGCCCACCAAGGCGACGAUGCGUAGCCGACCUGAGAGGGUGAUCGGCCACACUGGGACUGAGACACGGCCCAGACUCCUACGGGAGGCAGCAGUAGGGAAUCUUCCGCAAUGGGCGCAAGCCUGUCGGAGCAACGCCGCGUGAGUGAUGAAGGUUUUCGGAUCGUAAAGCUCUGUUGCCAAGGAAGAACGCCUCGGAGAGUAACUGCUCUGAGGGUGACGGUACUUGAGAAGAAAGCCCCGGCUAACUACGUGCCAGCAGCCGCGGUAAUACGUAGGGGGCAAGCGUUGUCCGGAAUUAUUGGGCGUAAAGCGCGCGCAGGCGGUCUUUUAAGUUUGGUGUUUAAGCCCGGGGCUCAACCCCGGUUCGCACUGAAAACUGGGAGACUUGAGUGCAGGAGAGGAAAGCGGAAUUCCACGUGUAGCGGUGAAAUGCGUAGAGAUGUGGAGGAACACCAGUGGCGAAGGCGGCUUUCUGGACUGUAACUGACGCUGAGGCGCGAAAGCGUGGGGAGCAAACAGGAUUAGAU